UCAGGUUUCUACAGAAUCAAUAGGGAAUCUUGUGAAAAUCAAGAGCUAUACCCGUAGCUGUAAGUCCUGCAAAAGGCUUCUAGCAUUAUGUCACUGGCGUAAGCCGGGAAGACGCUGGAAAGCUUGGACGAGCCAGAAGACCUGCCUGAAAUCC
This 154-nucleotide non-coding RNA is filed under the name bovine gut metagenome. The record is from RNAcentral.